GCGGCGUGCUGACUCCGUUCGUCGGAGAAGCAUGUUGCGGACCAGCGCCGCGUGCUUCCUCGUCGAACGGUGGCGACCACGUUGC
Non-coding RNA from Triticum aestivum (bread wheat), 85 nucleotides. The record is from Rfam. NCBI's taxonomy places the organism in Eukaryota, Viridiplantae, Streptophyta, Magnoliopsida, Poales, Poaceae.